RNAcentral lists this ribosomal RNA (492 nucleotides) under uncultured bacterium. Its description in RNAcentral is "partial 16S ribosomal RNA". It matches the Rfam family "Bacterial small subunit ribosomal RNA", at positions 29 to 507 of the family's 1533-position model. The record is from RNAcentral.
AGUGAACGCUGGCGGUAGGCCUAACACAUGCAAGUCGAACGGCAGCACAGUAAGCGCUUGCUCUUACGGGUGGCGAGUGGCGGACGGGUGAGGCAUACAUCAGCAUCUACUUUUUCGUGGGGGAUAACGUAGGGAAACUUACGCUACUACCGCAUACGACCUACGGCUGAAAGCAGUGGAGCUUCGGACCUUUCGCGUCUGAAUGAGCCGAUGUCGGAUUAGCUAGUUGGCGAGGUAAAGGCCCACCAAGGCAACGAUGCGUAGCUGACCUGAGAGGAUGAUCGGCCACACUGGAACUGAGACACGGUCCAGACUCCUACGGGAGGCAGCAGUAGGGAAUAUUCGGCAAUGGGCGAAAGCCUGACGGAGCAACGCCGCGUGAGUGAUGAAGGUCUUCGGAUCGUAAAGCUCUGUUAUUAGGGAAGAAAAAAUGUGUAAGUAAAUACGCACGUCUUGACGGUACCUAAUCAGAAAGCCACGGCUAACUUCGUG